RNAcentral lists this ribosomal RNA (253 nucleotides) under uncultured bacterium. Its description in RNAcentral is "partial 16S ribosomal RNA". It matches the Rfam family "Bacterial small subunit ribosomal RNA", at positions 524 to 776 of the family's 1533-position model. The record is from RNAcentral.
GACGUAGGGCGCGAGCGUUGUCCGGAUUUAUUGGGCGUAAAGAGCUCGUAGGCGGCUUGUCGCGUCGGCUGUGAAAACCCGCGGCUCAACUGUGGGCGGGCAGCUGAUACGGGCAGGCUGGAGUUCGGUAGGGGAGACUGGAAUUCCCGGUGUAGCGGUGAAAUGCGCAGAUAUCGGGAAGAACACCCGUGGCGAAGGCGGCUCUCUGGAACGCAACUGACGCUGAGACGCGAAAGCGUGGGGAGCAAACAGG